AAAAUAAAAUUUCUGCGAUCUGAUCGCGGAGACGAAUAUUUGAGUUACGAGUUUGGUCUUCAAUUAAAACAAUGUGGAAUAGUUUCACAGCUCACGCCACCUGGAAAACCACAAUGUUAUGGUGUGUCUGAACAUCGUAACCGCACUUUAUUGGAUAUAGUGCGAUCUAUGAUGUCUCUUACUGAUUUACCACUAUUGUUUUUGGGUUAUGCAUUAGAGAUAGCUGCAUUCACGUUAAAAGGGCACCAUCUAAAUCCGUUGAGACGACACCAUAUGAACUGUGGUUUAGCAAGAAACCCA
Molecule: ribosomal RNA, 300 nt
Filed under: Triticum aestivum (bread wheat)
Lineage: Eukaryota; Viridiplantae; Streptophyta; Magnoliopsida; Poales; Poaceae
Description: partial small subunit ribosomal RNA
Source: RNAcentral